CCUACGGGAGGCUGCAGUGAGGAAUAUUGGUCAAUGGCCGGAAGGCUGAACCCGCCAAGUCGCGUGAGGGACGACUGCCCUAUGGGUUGUAAGCCUCUUUUAUAAGGGAAGAAUAAAUGCUACGUGUAGCAUGAUGCCUGUACCUUAUGAAUAAGCAUCGGCUAACUCCGUGCCAGCAGCCGCGGUAAUACGGAGGAUGCGCGCUUUAUCCGGAUUUAUUGGGUUUAAAGGGUGCGUAGGCGGUUGUUUAAGUUAGUGGUUAACCGUCGGGGCUUCACCUUGAUUUGCCAUUAAUACUGUAAGACUCGAGUUCAGACGAGGUAGGCAGAAUACGAUAAGUAGCGGUGAAAUGCUUAGUUAUAA
RNAcentral lists this ribosomal RNA (363 nucleotides) under uncultured bacterium. RNAcentral describes it as "partial 16S ribosomal RNA". It matches the Rfam family "Bacterial small subunit ribosomal RNA", at positions 338 to 699 of the family's 1533-position model. The record is from RNAcentral.